This is an RNA transcript of Candoia aspera, 4707 nucleotides long. It is a transcript of the gene named calcium binding and coiled-coil domain 2, with no coding region annotated. The transcript is spliced from 11 exons. The record is from RefSeq and is a predicted model, not a curated record. Lineage: Eukaryota; Metazoa; Chordata; Lepidosauria; Squamata; Candoiidae.
CUUUGAGACAAAGGUUACAUAAUACAGCGUUUGCUCUGUGCACGUAUUAGAGCCCUGUUUAACCUGCUGGCUGGGAAAGACUCGCCUCAAUCAGUAGGAAACUGCUAUCUGUCGGGAUAACAAACUAGGACUAAGGACUUCAGUAUGGAGGAUAUGUUAUGUGUAUGUAAUAAUUUGGAGGAACCACCUACUUCUGCUGUCUUCUUGGAAAGCUGCCAUUUCUCUCAGGUCGUCUUUGCAAACAUAGAGAAAUUCUAUGUUCCCGGAACAGAUAUAACUUGCUAUUACAACCUUUCCCAGCACUUCACACCUCGCAAGAAGGACUGGGUGGGCAUAUUCAGAGUGGGAUGGAAGACAACUCGUGAAUACUACACAUUCAUGUGGGCCCCUUUGCCCAGCAGCUCUGAGAGCAGCAGUGCUGAGCAACAGAAAGUGCUUUUUAAAGCCUACUACCUGCCAAAGGAUUAUGAGUAUUACCAGUUUUGCUAUGUUGAUCAAGAUGGGAAAAUCCGUGGGGCCAGUGUCCCCUUUCAGUUCCGUACUGAGGUUGAGGAUGACAUGCUGGUGGUUACUACGAAGGAGGAAGUGGAGGAAGUAGAGCAGCAAAAUGUAACUUUGCUUCAAGAAAACCAGAAACUGAAGAAGGACCUGGUAAGUCUCCAGGAACAGUACACGCAUCUACAGGAAGAACUAGUGGCAGCUAAGGCUCUUCAAAGUAGUGUGAAUACUUUAGAGAGCAGAUGUGAGAAACUGGAAUCCCAGAAGAAAGAUCUGGAAAAGGAGACGUGCGCCAUAAAGGCAGAACUGACAAGGAUCAAAGAAGAGAAAGAAUCCAUAUUAUCUGAGAAGGAACAGCUGGGAAAUCGGCUGAGAACCAUUUUGAGUCAAAUAGAAGAGCUUCAAUUACAAGUGCAGAGUCAACAGAAGGAAGUUGACAACCUGCAGAAGACAAUUAAAGACAAAGCAAGGCACCUGGAGCAGUUGAAGGAAGAGAAUUGUCAGUUAAGUGCCACCUUGCUUAGACAGCAAAUGUUGGACAAGAUCAAGGAGGAACAAACACUUGCACUUCAAAUCCUGAAGAAGGAAAAGGAUGAAAUAGAGCAAGAAAAUCAGAAAUUAUGGCAGGAGAAUGAAGAGUUGCGGGCACGCCUCCCUGAAAUAGGCAGUGCAUCUGCUGGAAUCCUAUCCCAGUCACCACCUAAUUCAGUGGGUUCCAAACUCCUGUUUGGAAAUCCAUAUUCUGGUGAGUGCCCUUGGACAUCCAUUUGGGAGCUUCAAAGUAGCAGCAAAAGUAUGUUAAUUGAUAUUCUGAUGCUCAGUUGUUUAAAAGCACAUCGCUGUACCCAUAGUUCCUGAUCUUGUGGUUAUAGAAAAUGCUACUUCUCCUUGUAGCAUUACAGAAAUGAACAAAUUGCUGUAGUGUUUUCAACAGUAUUCUCAUUGGGUUUUGGGGAGAGGGGUUAAAUAGCAGAAAAGUGAUGGAAAGAGUGGAGAGGCUGAUUGAUUGAAUGGCAUGUUUAUGCCGGUAAUUUUAUCACACAGCGAUCACAGGUGAGUUUAUUUGUCUAAAACUCUACAAAUGGGAGCUCAUUAUACUUCCCUCAGGAGGUAAUAGCAUUAUUGGGUUGCCAGCAUAAUAGAGCCCCUCUCCAGAAUAUGCAAGUGUUCCCAAGCAUACUUUUGAGUGCAUGUCUCCCCAGAUACAACUAUUUUGAUAUGCUAUUUGUCCACUGAUAAAUAUUUUAAGACCGGCAUUGGCAGAUUCUAUGAGUUGUGCACCCAAAUAAGAUGCAACAGAUUAUGUGUUGGCAGAUACUAUUAAAAUACACAAACUCUAGGAUUGGUUUCUGACACCACUGUUCACUACCACCACACAGUAUUUUAAAGUGUUACUGAUGCUAUAUAUUAACUAAUGUCAAAAACAUUUUAUUUUUCUUGCUAUGGUUUGUCUUACAGCAUCGCCAAAGAUUCUCAAGGUGGACCUGGUCUCCAUGAAGAAAUGUCCCAUGUGCCAGGAAGUCUUCCCUAAUGACAUUGGAGAACAACAGUAUUUGGAUCAUGUGCAAAAUCACAUUCUUGACUGUCCAUAUUGCAAUAAAACUUUCGACAGCUCCAACAAGCAAGUGUAUGAUGAUCAUGUGUUUUGCCAUCGCUUAGACCAAGCAUAAGCCUGCUUGUACCACCUAAGUUACUACAGCUAAUGCCUUUUUCUUUCUUUCCUUUUUUCCAUUUCUUUCUUUGUAUGAUCUGGCAGGGAUAGACACUUGAUAUGCUAAACCUGAUAUACCAGACUGAAACCUGCUGUUGGGCCUGCAGUACUGAUCACUUUAAUUUCUUCUGAUAACACAUCUGUUUAAUUAAAUAUGCACUGUACUUCUGCUUUGGAAGCAGGAAUUUCCAUAUUUAAAUCUUCUUAUAGGCUAUUUAAAAAUAAGAUGCUGCUUUCCUCUACCCUAAAUCUUCCAUUAAUAAUGAAUCAUGUUUGUAACAGGAAGCUAGAAAUUUCUAGCUAUAUCUAUAGUAAAGAAUAGAAAUGCUACCUUUUGCUUGCUUUGUAUCUAUUUUAUGCUAAAAGAGGAAUAAUUGCAAAGCAAACAGCAAGUAUGGUAGCAGCCCUAUCAGCAUCUACCUUUGUAUUGUUUAGGUGUAAGACUUAAAUCUAUGGUAUCCAUUAGGGCUGUUCAGUGCUUCUGAUUCAAAAGCAAAACAGUGUUUUAAAAAAUCUGAGGACACAUGUAGCACCUGUCUGCAAUUCUUCAGCUGCAGAGAAUGGCCAUGUGAUCCCAGGAAAAGAAAUAGUGGUAUUUAGGAUUUGCAAAUAUGUGGUUUGUAAGCAUCAGAGCCUGCCCAGAGUUGCUGGGAGUUAGGCAGUGUAUAAAUUUAAUAAAAUAAUAUUAUUCUCCCUCUGCACUCUGAAGUACUUUUUUUUUGGAAUUCAAAGUGCUUCAUAGCCCUGCUAUUAUCCCAUCUUGCAGCAACAACAACAAGCCUUUUUUAUGAACUGUGAGGGAGGAUAAUUUAAAACCUCACUGGCAGGCUCCUUUUUUCCAAGUGUUUCCCAGUAAAUGUUAAUUAUAAUAGGCUGCUGCCAAUCAGACUGAAUGUCCCGACACGCCCUCAGCCAUUUAAUUGGGGAAUUCUUGGUCCUCAAGAGUAUUCUUCCUUCAAUCCAGCUUUAGGAAAACACAGGAAGGUGCUUUGAAUCUUCUAGCCCAAAACUCAGAAAUAAGCUUGUGCAAAUCCUGAAACACAAGGGGGCAACUGUGUAACAUACAGUCUUGUAUGUGGGAAGGGUUUAAUGAGAAAUUCUAUUAAACCAAUGAUACCAAAUUUCAGGAUAUAAGAGUUCAUUACUGUGAAUGGUUGGAGAGAUCAUUUGGGAAUAAUAAUAGGAUGUUGCUAAGCAAGCCUUCCUUCCUUCUGCCUUUCAUUUGAGCGCUAUCCUCAGUUUUAUAGAAUGUGGAGGGUAACCAAGAAGCAGCCUGUUUAGGCAAAGCAACAGUUGCUCUUCCCAAUUAAAAAAAUGUUUCAUGUCAUCAGGGAGCUAGCUAACUAGCAUAUCAGAAAAUGAUCUGAAGGCUUGACCCAGUUUCUUAAGACUGUGACUGAGAAAGGCAUUAAUAAGUUUUCACCAGUUGUGUCACUGUAUAGAAAGGAUUAAACAAAAAAAGGCUUUUUUGGAAACAAAAGAUUAAUACUUUUCAAGACUUUCAACAUAGAGUCAAUUUAUUGGAUGCUUUAGAUUGCACUGUAGUGCCCUACCUCCAAAAAUAAGGAGUUGUCACAAUUGUAUAAUCAGAAUGCAGAAAUGUGCUGCUUUGUUGAAAUUUCUCUAAAUAUAUGGCUGCAUUGUCAAAAAGCCAUAUUCAUUAUAUAAUCAGGAUUACUGUACUAGAAAAGAUGUUUUUCUAGAAAAAAUUUUUCCUGAAACACAUUGGAAAUACAUUCUUUUUCUUGAAAAACCACUAUUUUACCUUUUAGUUUCUGUGAUAUUGACCAUGCACUUUCUCUUGUAUAAGACUGAAUGCUGUAAUAGAGAUCAGCUGCUUACCUACAGAUUUUAUACCACAUAUUGGUUAGCUAAAUGGUUAAUACUAUAUGUAGCAGAAACUAUUUUAGUAGCAUUUUUCUCUUCCAUGUUAUGUUUGUUGCUUUAAAAACUCUUGGGGAAACUGUUUUCCAGUGCAGAAAACUUAAAAUUUGUAAUGAUGGACUACUUACAGAUAACUAAAUAAAUUUUGGUUUAUCCUUUUUCAAGCACUUAUUGAUUACUUAUUGAAAAUAUAUCAAAUUCUUUUCAGAAUGGAGGGUGAUAUGUGCAUAUAAGUAUCUGAUAAAUCCUGUGAGGGUGUGGUGAAUAGUGAAUUCUAAAUAUUUACUUUCUAGCAGUGAAGUUAGUCUUCAUGAUUCUAAACUGAGGCCAUUUUUUCACCGUAAUAUGUCAGAUCAGAUAAUUAAGCAUACCAGAAAAACAAGUUUAGGCUAGUUUCCAGAGGACAAUCUGCCUGCACUCAGGAAUCAAUAAAAGACCCUGUCUUAUUGGUUGUAAAAGUAGUUUUCCUUUAUAUUUAUAUUUUCUUUAUGUAUUAUGUGGCAUAUGUUUCUUUUGAUGAAGCUCUGUAGCUACCUUUCAAGUUUAUUUUGGCCCUCUUCACACUUGGCUCACUGUUUUUACCAAAAUAAAAUGAUUGUCUGGACGCUCUCCAA